UACGUAGGGGGCAAGCGUUGUCCGGAAUUAUUGGGCGUAAAGAGCGCGUAGGCGGUCCGGUAAGUCGGCUGUGAAAGUCAAGGGCUCAACCCUUGAAAGCCGGCCGAUACUGUCGGACUAGAGUCCGGAAGAGGCGAGUGGAAUUCCCGGUGUAGCGGUGAAAUGCGCAGAUAUCGGGAAGAACACCCGUGGCGAAGGCGGUUCUCUGGGACGGUACUGACGCUGAGACGCGAAAGCGUGGGGAGCGAACAGG
This 253-nucleotide ribosomal RNA is filed under the name uncultured bacterium. RNAcentral describes it as "partial 16S ribosomal RNA". It matches the Rfam family "Bacterial small subunit ribosomal RNA", at positions 524 to 776 of the family's 1533-position model. The record is from RNAcentral.